UAUUGACAGAAAGACGUGAUUUUAUUAAUCAGACAAAUCGCCAUACAAAGCCGUAGUUAGGAAGCUUCGCAGAGCGUUCCAAAUACAUUGACUAGCAUAAUAUAAAGGGGCUCUUGCACGGCGAUGAGCUACUUCAUUAUCUCGUCUUCGAAUCCAUUGAAGAGACAUUUCAGAUUUGUUACCACGAAAACGUGACGAACAAAUUACAUUGUUUAAUAUUGGGCUAAAAAGUUUUUACUUGGUACCUUUUGAAGGUAUUUUAGAUGCAGAAACUAGUGGACUGCGCUAAAUGGUAAAUGCGCUUCAUAACAUCACCAGAGAGGAUGUGAGAGAGGGAAGGUAAAUACAAAUUAAACUAGAGAUUUCAAGAAUAAUUAUCCAUCAUUCGUCCUGAUAUCCAAUUUACUAAUAUGUUACGACCUUUGGGCAACUAUACAGGGGCCAUUCUGCCCUCUAAAUGCACUGACCACUAAGAGUAAAUCUCCUGCGCUUGACGAAUGUUAAAAACUUUAUCAUCGGCCUGUGAGCUUCACCAUCCAUGCACCACCCAAAUAA
Molecule: unclassified non-coding RNA, 555 nt
Filed under: Hevea brasiliensis (rubber tree)
Lineage: Eukaryota; Viridiplantae; Streptophyta; Magnoliopsida; Malpighiales; Euphorbiaceae
Source: RNAcentral